This 96-nucleotide microRNA precursor is filed under the name Nicotiana attenuata. RNAcentral describes it as "MIR6152 microRNA precursor family". It matches the Rfam family "MIR6152 microRNA precursor family". The record is from Rfam by way of RNAcentral. Lineage: Eukaryota; Viridiplantae; Streptophyta; Magnoliopsida; Solanales; Solanaceae.
UGGACAGAUUAUUGUAAUCGACUGUAUUCACGGCGUGAAACAGGGGAUUACACUAUUUUUAAACGGAAAAUGAAUCAAUCAACAUAAUAGACUCCU